RNAcentral lists this ribosomal RNA (468 nucleotides) under uncultured bacterium. Its description in RNAcentral is "partial 16S ribosomal RNA". It matches the Rfam family "Bacterial small subunit ribosomal RNA", at positions 28 to 507 of the family's 1533-position model. The record is from RNAcentral.
GACGAACGCUGGCGGCGUGCUUAACACAUGCAAGUCGAACGGAAAGGCCCUGCUUUUGUGGGGUGCUCGAGUGGCGAACGGGUGAGUAACACGUGAGUAACCUGCCCUUGACUUUGGGAUAACUUCAGGAAACUGGGGCUAAUACCGGAUAGGAGCUCCUGCUGCAUGGUGGGGGUUGGAAAGUUUCGGCGGUUGGGGAUGGACUCGCGGCUUAUCAGCUUGUUGGUGGGGUAGUGGUUUACCAAGGCUUUGAGGGGUAGCCGGCCUGAGAGGGUGACCGGCCACAUUGGGACUGAGAUACGGCCCAGACUCCUACGGGAGGCAGCAGUGGGGAAUAUUGCACAAUGGGCGGAAGCCUGAUGCAGCAACGCCGCGUGCGGGAUGACGGCCUUCGGGUUGUAAACCGCUUUCGCCUGUGACGAAGCGUGAGUGACGGUAAUGGGUAAAGAAGCACCGGCUAACUACGUG